This is a non-coding RNA of Manis javanica (Malayan pangolin), 8146 nucleotides long. The record is from RefSeq and is a predicted model, not a curated record. Lineage: Eukaryota; Metazoa; Chordata; Mammalia; Pholidota; Manidae.
AAUGGAGGAGCAGUAAAAUGGGGACUACUGGCUAAGGAUCCAGGGGCCGGAAGUGGGGAUGGCCUGUGCUGGUAGUGCAAUUGGAGGCUGGGCUUUGUAGAGGUACAAGCCUUACAGCCAGUUGUGGUGUGUCUGUGCUGUGGCUUCCAGUGGCCAGAAGCUGACUCAGUCACCUGGUUUCUGAGUUGGCCUGACCUGGAAAUAGUGCCUAUUUGCUUCAGACAGGAAAGGGGGGUCUGGGAGGACCGGAAACUGGGGAAAAUCUGAGACCCGGAGGAAGAGGAGUAUUGAUCAGAGCACACCCCUCCUCUAUUCCAGCACGGGUCGAGGAGGGGCAGCAGCUGGUGCCAUGGAUGGAGGGAGAGUGGGCUUGGGAGUCAGGUUAACUGGGUUCACUUGACUUUUUAUGAACUGCAGACCUAGGCCAAGUCACGUCAUUUCCCUGAACUCCAGUUUCCUCAUCUAAAAUGAAGAUGGCAGCACGGCCCUUGAAAGUGUUCCCAGGCCCUGAAGUUCCUGACGCAGAUCCGGGCCUAGCCUCUCAUCAACCUGCGGCUGGUGAACACAUCUCUGUAUGAGCAUGUGGAGCAGAUGUGCCUCACUGGGAGGAGCCUGGAGCAGCUGAAGUUUCUGGGGGAUUACCUAGGCCUGUGCUGAAGUGGAGCCCUGAUGGAGCUAAGCAAGAGCCCCCUACCUCCAAGACGGACUACCCCGAGUUGGUGACCAGUUACCCUGAGGAGGACUACUCCCCCUUGGGCUCCUUAAGUGGCCACGACCCCCAGGUGGUCUUGCCACGUAGACCCAGAAGGACAGACGCUCUACACCAGCCACUUCACCCAAGAGCAGCUCCAGCAGGGCUCCAAGCCAACCCAAGAAACUGCGACACCUGCACGUCCCUCCAACCCCUUGGGUUAUGUUGGGCUCUGGUUGGAAGGAAUCUUUUCCUCUCCUCUCAUGAGAUGGGCGGGAGCCCUGAACACCCCUCUUCCCACAGUGGGUGAGGUUGAAGGACCAACACAGAAAGCCCUGCCUCUGCAAACCAGAUGAGCGCUGGGUUCAGUGGGAGCUGCUCCAGGUAACCAACUGGGGAAGGGAGAGAGGAGGGGAUUGUAUGACAGUGUCUUUCUCGACAGGACUCCCAUCCCUGCUCCUUGAAGCUUCCACAAGUCUCACAACCAGGACAGUGAGACCCUAGCCCAGGCCAGCCCCCCUGAGAAGGGAAGGGAAGGGGCUUGCAGGCCUUGGCAGGACCUCCCCAGAAGAGAUGGUGUGUUGCUGGAGGUCCUGGGGGCUGAGACUGGGUUGGGCGUGUCUCCCCCCAUAGGCCCAGCACUAGCCUGGGCUGAAUGAACUUGGGUCUGGGCCAUCCCAGGCCCAGAGUUCGGUGAGGUUGGGAGCGGAGCUGGGAGGAAAUAUCUCCUCUUGCUGUGGGAGCAGGCACCCACCACCAUCAGCAGCAAAGAGGGUUCAGUGGAGACUCAGGCCCAACCUGUGGGGAGCUGCUGGCUGUGACGGACUAGCCUCUGCCCUUCUCCCACCUGUGGCUCACCACCUUAACUGCCUCCUCUUUCCACAUUUCAAGAUCAAGACCUUGGAGAAGGCAGGUGUGCUCCAUUGAACCAAAACAGUGGACAAGGGGAAGCAGCUCUGGUGAGAGCGCAUGUGCACCAGACCAGGGCAGCAAGGGCCUUACUGAUGAUGCUCACUGAGCAUCUCCCAUUUGCCAGGCCUGUGUGACUCUCAAAAGACUUUAUAAGAGGUCCUGUGAGGGAGGACAGUGAGGCACAGGGAUAAAGUGACUUCCCUGUGGUCCCUUGGUUCCUAGGUGUCAGCAUUGGGAGUCUGCCCCUCACAGUUGAGUGCCCCAAGCUGCAUUCAUAAGCUCUGUUCCCUACUCCUGGGAGUGGGAGGGGGUCCUCAGCCGAGGGCCAAAUACAAGCCUAACCCCCACUAAGCAGCAGCACUGGAGUGCCUCCUGGAUGGUGCUGGAGGGUAGCAUCCUGACAUUCUUCAAGGACUCAAGACCUCAGCUGCAGGCAGCCAGAGGCAGUCUUCCAAGCUCUCCAUCCCUAAGUACGCAGUGGAGCUGAAGGGGGCCUCUCUUGCCUGGGCCCCCAGUAAGAAAAUGUGCUAGAGGUGAGUGGUAGGGAUAGGGAGGAGAGGGAGCUUACUGCUGGUUCGGGACCCACCCAGACAAGCCCCAAGGUAAGGAGGACUUGGGGAAAAUGGGGGUGAAAUUCUCAGGGCUCAAAGCUGAAGUUGUUCCCACCUGAGGGAUCUGUCCACAGUGUUUCUAAUGUCACAGAUUUUUCAGUCCCCUCUCCAGGAGCUGUGUUCACCAGUCCUUGGCCCUGGAGAGUGGUGAGGAAUAGGGGGUCUCUGGGGGGUAAAACUGUAGAUGCCUAGAAGGGCAGCCCUUAUCCUAGCUGCUCUGGCCUCAGACAGACAGAAGACCCUGCAUUCCUGGCUUCUUACCCUGACAAGCUGGAAAGCCUCCAGCUGAUUAGAGCCCAGCUUCCAACUAGACUGGUCCUUGUGAAAAACUGGGGCAGUUGCACAUUUCUCAGGCUCCCCCAGCAGGAAAAGAGAGGCCAGGUGGGGCCAGGAGAGGACCUCACAGUGUUGCCUUGUUUUUAAACUAGUUUUACCCUCACUUCAGUCCCCAGAAGUAUUAGGCAGCUCACGACAAAAACACACAAAAUCUACUACAAUGCCAGGAUCAGGCCAAACAAGUUACAGAACUAGGCCAGUGUGGGGAGGGGCAGAUGAGGUUCAGGUGCUAAGGUUAUUACUAGAGAAAGUUAGCCCCAGGUUUCCUGAUAACCUAAAUGAAAAAAACGAAAAACAACAAAAAAACCUUCCCAGAUUGUGAGGGAAAUCAAAGCUUCUCCCUAGUCCUUAGUUCUUGGAGGCAUUUUUAGUGUGCAACUCCUUUCUCAUUCAGUAAGGUACUCUUGGGGCUGCUUCGGGGAACACGAUGAAAGCCAAAAGCAUGACAUUACAUCUCAGCUCAGAAAAAGCAUUUCUGCAAAGAGCUUGAGUAUGUUGUUUUCUAAUGGUCCAUCAAGCUUCAUUCAGUUCUAGACCCAGAGUAUCCACAGAGCAGGUUUGGAAAACCAGUUUCAUCUCAUGAACUGCUCUGAUCAGUCCGUCUGGAGCCUUCUCCAGGCUUGGGAGGUUAGAGUGUUACCAUCAACUAGCAGUGUCUGCCAUGGGUGGUCAUAUUGAGGAGGAACAUCACUUCUGCUAGGCAUGUUCCUUUCCUAACCUAGAGGGACAUCUCUCAACCAUCGAUCUAUAAAUGUCACCUCUCUGACUGGGCUUCUGAUGAAAGUUCAGAGUAAACACUUCGGAGUUGUCUUUUUUGGCAAGGACAGGAAGGCAGAUGGCGCUCUUGGAAGCUACUCAAGCUGAUGGGAAGUCUGUCAGUCUUGAAUGGAAAUUAAGGAGCCCCCAGCUUCCCAGUUGGCAGAUGGCCAUCCUCCCUCCACUCGGGUGGCCUGCAGGUAACUCUUACGAUUUUUCUCAAGAGACAGUCCCAGAUUCUAUAACACAGCUGGGUUAGUUGAGCCUGGCAAAAUUUCAUAGCACAUCUUCCUAAUCCCCCACAGAGCCACAGAAAACUUCAGUAAGAGGCCUCCAAAAAGAGCGAGCUUGGGGUGGCUCAGCUGUGUAUUCAACAGGAUGAAUGUUUUGUGAGAUAUAUUGCUAUGUAACUAUAAAGCUUUGCCUUCUGAAUGAAACUUUCAAACAUGAACUGAUUGUUUUGAGAGAGUUGCCAAAAAUAAUCAUUGUUGUUUUAGAAGCAUUGUUAGGCCAUUCUCUGGGAUAACAGAGGCAGGGCUCUUGUUAGCUUAGAUUAUGGGCUGUACUGCCUAUCCACUGAAAGUUCUCUGUCUUUGCAGGGAGAGGGGUGAAUGUGCAGUUUUUCUUUUCCUUUUUGUAAUUUUUUAAAGCAGUUUAAGUAGCAUUCAAGUGUAAAUUUAAAAGGUAGACAGCCCUGAUCUGGAAGUUAUACCUUGUCUGACUCUCACUGGACCCAAAGGUCCAGUUGGUGUGAGCCGUGUUAUGAAACAUUCACAUUAACCUUGAUCUCUCAGUCCGCAGAGCCAGAGGCUGAUGAGAGAUCUAUCCAAGUUUGCUGACCACCUAACCCUGUUCUUCAGAGUCUUUGUUACAACAGUAGCUGGAUGAAGAAUAGCCUGCGCUGUGGGUAUCUGCUUGGUCCUUAAUAGUAUAAAAUAGUGGCUUUGGAAACCCAGAUUCCAGGGCUUCUUAAGAAUAUGGCCUGUGGUCUGCAUGGAACCUCCAGCAAAUUUACAGGGCAGUGCUUCCUCCAGCUGACAGACCACGUGUGUCUCCCCAGUGAAUAAGAAUAAGUGCGUUGGUUCCCCCCAGCCUGCUGGCCAGAAAGUGCUCUAACUAGUCAGAAAGUGGCCAAAAGUCUCCCCUUGAGUUUUGUUUAAUUUACACUUCAUGAUAAAGUGGACAGUGAGAGGUGCAUUGCCUGGGCUGGAGUGUGGGAGAGGGUGUAGACUCGUGGCUACAAAAGUGAAAAACACUCCUAGGUUCCCAGAGUGUGUGGAAUGCAGGAGGUGCUUGUUUUCUCUGGGAUCAGCCCCAAUAUGCUUUCAAAGCUUUCUGCCCAGCAUUUUCUUCACUGCUAAUUCUAGCCACCAGGGGCCUCCCACCAGGUAUUUCUUCCAUUGGCUGCUUGCCAGUGCUCUGGGUGAGGCCUGCCAUGUUCUGUGGUUCUUGGGGCUGGGGAAAGUGUACUAGACAGCUGGGCCAUUCAUACCUGCUGCACUCAGAUCCUUGCUCUCUCACUCACUAGUUGUGUAUCCACUAGCAAGUUGCUUAAAUUGGUAACAGGGAUGUCAUCACCUACUUUUUUAUGAGGUGCAGUACCUUGGCCUGGGGUGAGCUCUUGCUCCAUUAGGCUCUGAGUUCCUGGGAACAGGGAGAGAUCACCUCCGUCUCUCUAUCCCCCUCUGAGACCUGGCCCCAGUCCAGACCCAGGUAACCAGAGAUGACUGACUGACUUGUGUCCCUGUAGCUGCAGAGCCAAGAUGGCUCAGAGUACCUGAUCCAGCAUGACUCGGAGGCCAUCAUAAGCACCUGGCACAUGGCCAUUGGCCAGGGCAUCCAGGAGCUGGUAGGCAGAGCUUGGGGUCUCACUGCUGGUGGGGAGAGGAGGCCAGCCAUUAUCAGGGCAGCUGUGCCCACAGUGGAUAGGGCUCUGCACUCAGGCUCCAGGGGUUCCACAGCAGCAGUGGGUAAGUGCCCCUCCCUGCAGACACAAUUCCACAUUGUGGCUGGAUGGCAGAUGGGCUGCUGAAGAAAUAGCCUUUCUAAGUGUAUGAAUCCAGCCUCGGGCUGGCCCUGCAGGAGCUCUUUCCAGGUAGGGGUUGGGGCACAUCCUAGAGGAAUGUCCCAUUUCAAGGGAGGCAGGAGGAAAAGUAAAUAUCUGAAAAACAGCCUCAGGCUGGAAGGACAGGCUGGGACUAGAAGAUAAAAUUUUAAAGGAUUGAAUUCAAGAGUCUACCAUUUUUUAGGUUUAAAAUACCAAUUGCUUAAGUAGCGAUAGGAUAGGCCCCCUUCUGAUAGCUAUUCACCUGGUAACAAUCUGGGGCUUUUUGACCCUUAAUCUCCUAGAAGCCAACACUGGAUGCAGUGUUAGGUCAUAUUACUAGAGGUAGGAACUAGAUCCAGGGAGGUGAUGCUGGUGCAGUUCUGGCCAGUGCUCAGAUUGCAGCCACAUUAGCAAUGGUUUUUAUUGGGAGGCCUCCCCUGGAGUAUCCCAUGGGUGCCCCAGCAUCACCUCUGUACCCCUAACUAAACCUUCUCCAUUUUCCCUCUCCCUUUUAAAACUGAUCUUUCCAGUGCUUCAUUCUUUAGCAUGGGUGACUAAGCCUACGCUGCUGCCAUGUCCAAUAACGGAAACUUGCCUUUCUCUAUAAUGGGGUUGCAGGCAAGGUCAAUAGGGGGUCUUCCAAAAGCAUCUUGAGAAUCACUGCUUUUUGGUGCCAUCUCCAGCUACUCCCUAUCAGCUCUGUGGAUGACAGACCUGGAGCUAUGGCUGGUGCCCCACUGGAGACAGGACACUCUUUGAAAAGACAGCACAGGGGGUCUUUUGGUGUUGAGGGACCAACAAAGUGGAACCAAGAACCAGAGAACACAGCCCAAAUCCCUGCUCUACAGCUAUGUAAAAUAGGGAUAUUAACACCUACUUCCCCGGGAUAGUGAGCACAACAGAGGGAGUUACAAAUGUUGGUGCCCUGCAAGCCCCACUUCCUGAACAUAGUGGCCUCUACUGGCUAUUGGAUGACUGCACAGUGAGCUGACCUCCAGGCGGGGAUGUGCGAGUUUUUCUCCACUUCUGAAUCUACCUGAUGCUGGGGUUCUCAUGACAGACCCAUAGCUCCCUUUGCACAAAAUAUAUUCUGUGUAAUGAUAGUAAUUUGGAAAGAUUUUAAGCACCUUAUUGAGGUAUUGACAUACAUAUAUAUCCAUGAAACCAUCAUCACAAUCAGAUAGUGAACAUCUCCAGCACCCCCAAAAGUUGCCUUUGUGCCCCUUGGGACUCCCUCCCUCUACCCUUUCCUGUUCCUCCAUGCCCAAGCAAAUAUUGACCUACUUUCUGUCAUUGUAGAUUAGUUAACAUUGUCUAGAGCUCUCUGUAAAUGGAAUCAUACAACAUAUACUCUUGUUUGGCUUUUUUCACUCAACAUAACUUUUGAGAUUUAUGCAUGUUGUGUGUACCAAUAGUUCUUUCCUUUUUAUUGCUGAGCAGUAUUCCAUUAUGUGAAUGUACCACAAUUUGUUUAUCCAUUCAGUGUGAAGGUAAUUUUUAAAAAUCAGUAUAAUUCCCUAACUAUAAUAUGUAAGAGAAAUUGGAGGAAAGUGAUGAAAUAAUAGGGAAGUUCCAUGCUCAGGCACAAUCACACAAAAACACAGUGAUGCAGUCAGAUGUUUCACCUAUACAUACAAUUCCAUGAACCCAGUUCUUUGCCAGAAACUAUGGUUUGAUUCAAAAGCCCAGCAGUUGGCCACUUCAUGCAGAAAGGUACAAUGCCAUGUGACCCAAAGAAUAGGGACUGAGACUGAACAGAGGAGAAAGGCAAAUUUUUAGCUCAGUGGAAAGAUUAAUUCUCAAUGGGCUGGCCACCAGAGUGGCAUGCUUCUUUUCAAGUUGUGUGGCUGGUGUGUUUGGAGUGGACCACCUUGGGAUUUCUCCAGUCUAUCGAUUAUCCAGCCUCGUUUGCUAAGGUCCGAAUUUACUUUUUCAAAAGCAUGCUUCUAUUUCACUUAUCUUGCAUUUCACAACACAAUCCAGGGGCUUUUCAUUGGCACUUUCCUGAACAGAAAUAAAACUUUCAAAGCCCCAUGCUCCCAGACCAGCAGUAGACAUUGGCACUUCUCAAGCCUGCUGAGGGCCUCUCUCAGGGUAGAAUAUAAUUCUGUGGAAGAAAGUGUUUAACAAUGCUUUUGAGGCAACAAGGAUUUAGAAGCCUCUACUACAAAUGCAACUUUGUUAUAUUUACCUUCCUGGAUAACCUACCCACCUUGUCAUUAUUAAAGGAGUUUGUUAGUGGUAACCUUUGGCUUCAGAGUGGCUUGUCCUGGCAAGGAACUCAUUCCAGAAACUUUGAAGAAUUCAAUUUACCCAACAUGAGUGCUACAGAGAAGGAUCAAAAUCCAUCACAAGUAUGGUGGGACAAGUAAUAGGCAGGUUCUCUAGUCUUUGUUUCUUAACUGUGUUUUUAACAUAACAACCCAUUUCCCUCCCAAAUCCAGUUAAAUAUGUUAUACAUUCAUUCAUAUGCUUUUCCUGUUUUCCCUCAAAAUGUUUGCCUUCUACUUUUUCUAAUUUCUUGAGUUGAAUGCUCAGCUUGUUUUCUUUUAGUGGAAGGAAGACAGUUAAGACUAUGAAUUUACUUCUAAAUACAGUUCUGGAUAAAUUUCAGAAACUUGAUAUGUUAAUGUCAUUUCCAUUGUUUUAGAAACCUUUUAUUCCAGAUCUUAAUUUGUCUUUGACCCAGUGAUUAUGCAAGGGAUAAAAACCAUGUAAGUCUGGGUAGAGGAAAUCCUGGGGCAAAAUACCUCUAAAAACUGAAAUCAGUCAAAGGGAGAAAUAAAGUUUAAA